Molecule: small nucleolar RNA, 92 nt
Organism: Juglans microcarpa x Juglans regia
Lineage: Eukaryota; Viridiplantae; Streptophyta; Magnoliopsida; Fagales; Juglandaceae
Product: small nucleolar RNA snoR117
Exons: 1
Source: RefSeq, a predicted model, not a curated record
GGCCUAUGAUGAUUAAAUUUGUCCGUACCAUCUGAGAUAGUCUCCACAAAAGAUUAUCGUUGAUGUAUCUAUAUUUGCCAUUUCUGAGGCCU